GCGGCAGGCUUAACACAUGCAAGUCGAGCGGUAACAGAAAUAGCUUGCUAUUUGCUGACGAGCGGCGGACGGGUGAGUAAUGCUUGGGAAUAUGCCUUAUGGUGGGGGACAACAGUUGGAAACGACUGCUAAUACCGCAUAANGUCUACGGACCAAAGGGGGGGAUCUUCGGACCUCUCGCCAUUUGAUUAGCCCAAGUGAGAUUAGCUAGUUGGUAAGGUAAUGGCUUACCAAGGCGACGAUCUCUAGCUGGUUUGAGAGGAUGAUCAGCCACACUGGGACUGAGACACGGCCCAGACUCCUACGGGAGGCAGCAGUGGGGAAUAUUGCACAAUGGGGGAAASCCUGAUGCAGCCAUGCCGCGUGUGUGAAGAAGGCCUUCGGGUUGUAAAGCACUUUCAGUUGUGAGGAAAGGUGUGUAGUUAAUAGCUGCAUACUGUGACGUUAACAACAGAAGAAGCACCGGCUAACUUCGUGCCAGCAGCCGCGGUAAUACGAGGGGUGCAAGCGUUAAUCGGAAUUACUGGGCGUAAAGCGUUCGUAGGCGGUUGAAUAAGCAAGAUGUGAAAGCCCAGGGCUCAACCUUGGAACUGCAUUUUGAACUGUUCGACUAGAGUACUGUAGAGGGUGGUGGAAUUUCCAGUGUAGCGGUGAAAUGCGUAGAGAUUGGAAGGAACAUCAGUGGCGAAGGCGGCCACCUGGA
RNAcentral lists this ribosomal RNA (703 nucleotides) under bacterium IMCC11662. RNAcentral's name for it is "bacterial SSU rRNA". It matches the Rfam family "Bacterial small subunit ribosomal RNA", at positions 39 to 733 of the family's 1533-position model. The record is from RNAcentral.